RNAcentral lists this ribosomal RNA (253 nucleotides) under uncultured bacterium. Its description in RNAcentral is "partial 16S ribosomal RNA". It matches the Rfam family "Bacterial small subunit ribosomal RNA", at positions 524 to 776 of the family's 1533-position model. The record is from RNAcentral.
UACGAAGGGUGCAAGCGUUACUCGGAAUUACUGGGCGUAAAGCGUGCGUAGGUGGUUUGUUAAGUCUGUUGUGAAAGCCCCGGGCUCAACCUGGGAAUGGCAAUGGAUACUGGCAGGCUAGAGUGCGGUAGAGGGUAGUGGAAUUCCGGGUGUAGUGGUGGAAUGCGUAGAGCUCCGGAGGAAAACCAGUGGCGAAGGCGGCCGCCUGGGCCUUUGCUGACGCUGAGCCGCGAAAGCGUGGGGAGCGAGCCGG